RNAcentral lists this ribosomal RNA (301 nucleotides) under uncultured bacterium. Its description in RNAcentral is "partial 16S ribosomal RNA". It matches the Rfam family "Bacterial small subunit ribosomal RNA", at positions 509 to 809 of the family's 1533-position model. The record is from RNAcentral.
CAGCCGCCACGGUAAUACGGAGGAUCCAAGCGUUAUCCGGAAUCAUUGGGUUUAAAGGGUCCGUAGGCGGUCUUGUAAGUCAGUGGUGAAAGCCCAUCGCUCAACGGUGGAACGGCCAUUGAUACUGCAGGACUUGAAUUAUUGGGAAGUAACUAGAAUAUGUAGUGUAGCGGUGAAAUGCUUAGAGAUUACAUGGAAUACCAAUUGCGAAGGCAGGUUACUACCAAUUGAUUGACGCUGAUGGACGAAAGCGUGGGUAGCGAACAGGAUUAGAUACCCCUGUAGUCCCUGUCUCUUAUAA